Non-coding RNA from Otolemur garnettii (small-eared galago), 74 nucleotides. The record is from Rfam. NCBI's taxonomy places the organism in Eukaryota, Metazoa, Chordata, Mammalia, Primates, Galagidae.
GCUCCUGUGGCUCAAAGAAGUAGGGCUCUGGCCUCAUAUGCCAGAGGUGGUGGGUUCAAACCCAGCCCUGGCCA